Molecule: ribosomal RNA, 588 nt
Filed under: Triticum aestivum (bread wheat)
Lineage: Eukaryota; Viridiplantae; Streptophyta; Magnoliopsida; Poales; Poaceae
Description: partial small subunit ribosomal RNA
Source: RNAcentral
AUGAGCAAAGCUAUAGGACCUAAGUCUCAGGCCCUCUCUACACAUGAAAAGGAGUGUCUGGUUGUGUUACUUGCUGUAGAAAAAUGGAAAUCAUAGCUACAACGAGCUCCUUUCACCAUUUCCACCGAUCACAAAAACUUGACACGUCUGCAAGACAAGAAGUUGAGUAUCUCUACGCAACAUAAAACAUUUCUUAAUCUGUUGGGUCUCCAAUAUAACACUGUCUAUAGAAAAGGUUUGGCUAAGGCUGUAGUUGAUGCUUUGUCAAGGUCCCCUGCACCUAUGGAAUUAGCUGAUAUUUCCUUUUGCACACACAAAUGGCUAUCAGUGGUGUCCGAAGCUUACCAAUUGUUCCUUGUAGAUAAAGAUUUGUUGCAGGAACUGACACUGACAAGACCAAAUGACGAAGGGUACUCUCUCCAUCAAGGGGCCAUCAGAUAUAAAGAUAAAAUUUGGCUUCAUAACACUAAAGCACAGCAGGCCAUUAUGUUGUCUUUACAUGCCAGUGGUAUUGGAGCGCAUUCAAGUUUUCAAGCCACUUACCAAAGAAUUAAAGGUCUUUUUGCAUGGCAUGCAAUGAACACAUGA